GUCAGAGUGGCGAAACUGGUAUACGCGUCAGAUUUAGGUUCUGGUGCCGAAAGGCGUAGGGGUUCGAGUCCCCUCUCUGACA
This 82-nucleotide transfer RNA is filed under the name Patescibacteria group bacterium. Its description in RNAcentral is "tRNA-Leu". It matches the Rfam family "tRNA". Rfam says of the family: Transfer RNA (tRNA) molecules are approximately 80 nucleotides in length. Their secondary structure includes four short double-helical elements and three loops (D, anti-codon, and T loops). The record is from RNAcentral.